This 442-nucleotide ribosomal RNA is filed under the name uncultured bacterium. RNAcentral describes it as "partial 16S ribosomal RNA". It matches the Rfam family "Bacterial small subunit ribosomal RNA", at positions 338 to 795 of the family's 1533-position model. The record is from RNAcentral.
CCUACGGGAGGCAGCAGUGGGGAAUAUUGGGCAAUGGAGGCAACUCUGACCCAGCAAUGCCGCGUGAGUGAUGAAGGUAAUUUUAUUGUAAAGCUCUUUUCUUUGGAACGAAUAAAUGACGGUACCUGAAUAAGAAGCUCCGGCUAACUACGUGCCAGCAGCCGCGGUAAUACGUAGGGGGCAAGCGUUAUCCGGAAUUACUGGGUGUAAAGGGUGAGUAGGCGGCAUGGUAAGCCAGAUGUGAAAGCCUUGGGCUUAACCCGAGGAUUGCAUUUGGAACUAUCAAGCUAGAGGACAGGAGAGGAAAGCGGAAUUCCGAGUGUAGCGGUGGAAUGCGUAGAUAUUAGGAAGAACACCAGUGGCGAAGGCGGCUUUCUGGACUGCAACUGACGCUGAGGCACGAAAGCGUGGGGAGCGAACAGGAUUAGAUACCCGGGUAGUC